CAGCAGCCACGGUAAUACGUAGGUGGCAAGCGUUGUCCGGAAUUAUUGGGCGUAAAGGGCUCGCAGGCGGUUUCUUAAGUCUGAUGUGAAAGCCCCCGGCUCAACCGGGGAGGGUCAUUGGAAACUGGGAAACUUGAGUGCAGAAGAGGAGAGUGGAAUUCCACGUGUAGCGGUGAAAUGCGUAGAGACGUGGAGGAACACCAGUGGCGAAGGCGACUCUCUGGUCUGUAACUGACGCUGAGGAGCGAAAGCGUGGGGAGCGAACAGGAUUAGAUACCCCUGUAGUCCCUGUCUCUUAUAC
This 301-nucleotide ribosomal RNA is filed under the name uncultured bacterium. Its description in RNAcentral is "partial 16S ribosomal RNA". It matches the Rfam family "Bacterial small subunit ribosomal RNA", at positions 509 to 807 of the family's 1533-position model. The record is from RNAcentral.